This 2267-nucleotide ribosomal RNA is filed under the name Bacillus cereus HuA2-9. RNAcentral describes it as "bacterial LSU rRNA". It matches the Rfam family "Bacterial large subunit ribosomal RNA", at positions 653 to 2925 of the family's 2925-position model. Lineage: Bacteria; Bacillati; Bacillota; Bacilli; Caryophanales; Bacillaceae. The record is from RNAcentral.
UGAAGAGGCGGAGCCGCAGCGAAAGCGAGUCUGAAUAGGGCGUUUAGUACGUGGUCGUAGACCCGAAACCAGGUGAUCUACCCAUGUCCAGGGUGAAGUUCAGGUAACACUGAAUGGAGGCCCGAACCCACGCACGUUGAAAAGUGCGGGGAUGAGGUGUGGGUAGCGGAGAAAUUCCAAUCGAACCUGGAGAUAGCUGGUUCUCCCCGAAAUAGCUUUAGGGCUAGCCUUAAGUGUAAGAGUCUUGGAGGUAGAGCACUGAUUGAACUAGGGGUCCUCAUCGGAUUACCGAAUUCAGUCAAACUCCGAAUGCCAAUGACUUAUCCUUAGGAGUCAGACUGCGAGUGAUAAGAUCCGUAGUCAAGAGGGAAACAGCCCAGAUCGCCAGCUAAGGUCCCAAAGUGUGUAUUAAGUGGAAAAGGAUGUGGAGUUGCUUAGACAACUAGGAUGUUGGCUCAGAAGCAGCCACCAUUUAAAGAGUGCGUAAUAGCUCACUAGUCGAGUGACUCUGCGCCGAAAAUGUACCGGGGCUAAAUACACCACCGAAGCUGCGAAUUGAUACCAAUGGUAUCAGUGGUAGGGGAGCGUUCUAAGUGCAGUGAAGUCAGACCGGAAGGACUGGUGGAGCGCUUAGAAGUGAGAAUGCCGGUAUGAGUAGCGAAAGACGGGUGAGAAUCCCGUCCACCGAAUGCCUAAGGUUUCCUGAGGAAGGCUCGUCCGCUCAGGGUUAGUCAGGACCUAAGCCGAGGCCGACAGGCGUAGGCGAUGGACAACAGGUUGAUAUUCCUGUACCACCUCUUUAUCGUUUGAGCAAUGGAGGGACGCAGAAGGAUAGAAGAAGCGUGCGAUUGGUUGUGCACGUCCAAGCAGUUAGGCUGAUAAGUAGGCAAAUCCGCUUAUCGUGAAGGCUGAGCUGUGAUGGGGAAGCUCCUUAUGGAGCGAAGUCUUUGAUUCCCCGCUGCCAAGAAAAGCUUCUAGCGAGAUAAAAGGUGCCUGUACCGCAAACCGACACAGGUAGGCGAGGAGAGAAUCCUAAGGUGUGCGAGAGAACUCUGGUUAAGGAACUCGGCAAAAUGACCCCGUAACUUCGGGAGAAGGGGUGCUUUCUUAACGGAAAGCCGCAGUGAAUAGGCCCAAGCGACUGUUUAGCAAAAACACAGGUCUCUGCGAAGCCGUAAGGCGAAGUAUAGGGGCUGACACCUGCCCGGUGCUGGAAGGUUAAGGAGAGGGGUUAGCGUAAGCGAAGCUCUGAACUGAAGCCCCAGUAAACGGCGGCCGUAACUAUAACGGUCCUAAGGUAGCGAAAUUCCUUGUCGGGUAAGUUCCGACCCGCACGAAAGGUGUAACGAUUUGGGCACUGUCUCAACCAGAGACUCGGUGAAAUUAUAGUACCUGUGAAGAUGCAGGUUACCCGCGACAGGACGGAAAGACCCCGUGGAGCUUUACUGUAGCCUGAUAUUGAAUUUUGGUACAGUUUGUACAGGAUAGGCGGGAGCCAUUGAAACCGGAGCGCUAGCUUCGGUGGAGGCGCUGGUGGGAUACCGCCCUGACUGUAUUGAAAUUCUAACCUACGGGUCUUAUCGACCCGGGAGACAGUGUCAGGUGGGCAGUUUGACUGGGGCGGUCGCCUCCUAAAGUGUAACGGAGGCGCCCAAAGGUUCCCUCAGAAUGGUUGGAAAUCAUUCGUAGAGUGCAAAGGCAUAAGGGAGCUUGACUGCGAGACCUACAAGUCGAGCAGGGACGAAAGUCGGGCUUAGUGAUCCGGUGGUUCCGCAUGGAAGGGCCAUCGCUCAACGGAUAAAAGCUACCCCGGGGAUAACAGGCUUAUCUCCCCCAAGAGUCCACAUCGACGGGGAGGUUUGGCACCUCGAUGUCGGCUCAUCGCAUCCUGGGGCUGUAGUCGGUCCCAAGGGUUGGGCUGUUCGCCCAUUAAAGCGGUACGCGAGCUGGGUUCAGAACGUCGUGAGACAGUUCGGUCCCUAUCCGUCGUGGGCGCAGGAAAUUUGAGAGGAGCUGUCCUUAGUACGAGAGGACCGGGAUGGACGCACCGCUGGUGUACCAGUUGUUCUGCCAAGGGCAUAGCUGGGUAGCUAUGUGCGGAAGGGAUAAGUGCUGAAAGCAUCUAAGCAUGAAGCCCCCCUCAAGAUGAGAUUUCCCAUAGCGUGAGCUAGUAAGAUCCCUGAAAGAUGAUCAGGUUGAUAGGUUCGAGGUGGAAGCAUGGUGACAUGUGGAGCUGACGAAUACUAAUAGAUCGAGGACUUAACCAU